Molecule: non-coding RNA, 466 nt
Organism: Sorex araneus (European shrew)
Lineage: Eukaryota; Metazoa; Chordata; Mammalia; Eulipotyphla; Soricidae
Source: the annotation of a RefSeq genome assembly
AAGAUAAGAGGGACUUUGUCUCCCUUGUGAGCUCCACAUCAGAGUCCAGGGUGUCUCUGCAAUGGCCUGGCCUCCUGUCCUCCUCCUCCUCCUACUAGCUCAGUACCCAGGCUCCUGGGCACAGACUGGACUGACGCAGGAGGGAUCAGUGUCACGGUCUGUGGGACAGACAGUCACCCUCACCUGCACUGGAACCAGCAGCAAUGUUGGUACCUAUGGCGCAGGAUGGUACCAGCAGAUACCUGGUGCUGCCCCCAAAACUGUGAUGAUAGAAAGUACUCGACCUUCCGGGAUCCCAGAUCGGUUCACGGGGUCCCAAUCUGGAAACAAGGCCUCUCUGACCAUCUCAGGCGUGCAGCCUGAGGAUGAGGCUGAUUAUUACUGUUCUUCAUUUGACUACGAUAUCUACAGUGCCACAGUGCUUCAGACUCGAGGGGAAAUGAGGCAAAAACCCAGCCCUGUUUGA